AGUAUUUAAGGUGAUUGUAAGCCAGUGAGUAGGUCCAUCUAGCUGUAUGGAUCAGCGCGUGAUUGAGGAGAGACUUCUUGAGCUAAGUCCUGAGUCCAGCAUAGGAGACCACCAUUAGCAAGAUCACCUGGAAGGAUCGACAGUUUUUCCUCAAGCUGAACUACCAGAACCACCAAAACUUCUCACCUGCUACAACUCUGAGAACACUAAGUAUUAUCAGGGGAUGUUAAUGUCCAGCUCAGUGGUGUGUGGUUGUCCCAGCACUUGGUGUGUACAUAUGGGGCUCUGCCUCCUCUAUACCCCACCUAGCACCAACCCGAUGGUUUAACAUGAAAUGUGCCUCCUCUGGCCUUUACUAUUCUUCUGUGGUAUGGUCAGAGUGGAACUCCAGCCUGAUUUGCUGCCACUCAGAUCCCACCAGCCUCGCUCGGGGGAGGUCCUGGAUGAUUGGAAAAAGGCAGACAUAGUGUCCAUCUUUAAAAAGGGGAAGAAGGAGGAUCCAGGAAACUACAGACCAGUCAGCCUUACCUCAGUCCCUGGAAAAAAUCAUGGAGCAGGUCCUCAAGGAAUCCAUCUUGAAGCACCUGGAAGAGAAGAGCUUUUUGUGUCCGGCGUGGGACGCACCCUCACCAUCUGCUGCCUGCAUUGCUUCCCGUGUCUUUCCCGGUGCCGGCUUUUAUUCCAACCAUGCGGUGUCCUGGAAUGAUGUCCUCCACCUGUGCUAGCUCCAGCUGGAAAUAAGGGCAGCUCACAAACCUCAUGGGCGUUUCCUGUUGGCAUGGCUCAUCCAUCUCCCCAUGGCCUGAAAUUGGAAAGUUUGUCCUGGUUUCAGGGCUUUUCUUGUAGGGGCAGGUCACCCCCAUCCCCAGUCCUACUGCAGGGAGGGUCUCCUGUCCCCAGAUGCCUGGUACAGUGAGAUUGGACAAAAGUUCCCCACUCUGUCUUCUAUCACUUGAGCCCCAGAGAGCCAGCCAGCAUCUGACUUUUGAUGUUCAUUUGGAUUACAGGGAUCCAAACUCAAUAAAUUAUUUCUCAUUACACUGAA
Molecule: long non-coding RNA, 1045 nt
Organism: Alligator mississippiensis (American alligator)
Lineage: Eukaryota; Metazoa; Chordata; Crocodylia; Alligatoridae
Exons: 5
Source: RefSeq, a predicted model, not a curated record